RNAcentral lists this ribosomal RNA (529 nucleotides) under uncultured bacterium. RNAcentral's name for it is "partial 16S ribosomal RNA". It matches the Rfam family "Bacterial small subunit ribosomal RNA", at positions 355 to 874 of the family's 1533-position model. The record is from RNAcentral.
UGGGGAAUAUUGCACAAUGGGCGCAAGCCUGAUGCAGCCAUGCCGCGUGUGUGAAGAAGGCCUUCGGGUUGUAAAGCACUUUCAGCGAGGAGGAAGGUGGUGAACUUAAUACGUUCAUCAAUUGACGUUACUCGCAGAAGAAGCACCGGCUAACUCCGUGCCAGCAGCCGCGGUAAUACGGAGGGUGCAAGCGUUAAUCGGAAUUACUGGGCGUAAAGCGCACGCAGGCGGUUUGUUAAGUCAGAUGUGAAAUCCCCGGGUUCAACCUGGGAACUGCAUUUGAAACUGGCAAGCUAGAGUCUCGUAGAGGGGGGUAGAAUUCCAGGUGUAGCGGUGAAAUGCGUAGAGAUCUGGAGGAAUACCGGUGGCGAAGGCGGCCCCCCUGGACGAAGACUGACGCUCAGGUGCGAAAGCGUGGGGCAGCAAACAGGAUUAGAUACCCUGGUAGUCCACGCUGUAAACGAUGUCGAUUUGGAGGUUGUGCCCUUGAGGCGUGGCUUCCGGAGCUAACGCGUUAAAUCGACCGCCU